Molecule: long non-coding RNA, 28676 nt
Filed under: Phaseolus vulgaris (common bean)
Lineage: Eukaryota; Viridiplantae; Streptophyta; Magnoliopsida; Fabales; Fabaceae
Description: long non-coding RNA (PVUL_LNC001785)
Source: RNAcentral
UUCGUAAACCUCCAAGAAUCCACGCUGUGGAUGGGAGCAAGUUUUACACGGCCCCACGGUGGGCGCCUGAUGAUCCUGCCUGUUGACCGGAACGCUGGAGAAUGCCUCGUCAAGGGAUCGCCGUGCGCACCGCUUCUCACCUCCGUUCCUUUCCGGGAUCUGCUUCAAGAACCUGCAAAGAAACAACACGGUGCCGCUGCGGCCGAUCGCACUCCGACGCUCAAGUCAGUGGCGGUAUCACCAAAUACUAAGAACGAGAACCGUGCAAAUCCUUUCUCACAAUCAGCUCUGUCACUCGCAAGCGUAAAGUGUAUGAACUGAACGUGCGUACCUCAGAAAGUUUGUUAAGAGCUCUUAUAUACCUGGUGGCUUUCUCUCUCCUGGCAGUUACAGACUUGGACACGUGGCUCGUAUCCAACUGUACACGUGCCAUCAUCUGGAGGCCCCCUGACUUGGCGCUGCUUCUACUCUCAUUUUGGCUAAGUUACUUAUGCAUGGUACUGCCCAGUGCAUAGCUAACUUAGGAGUGCGAUCUCUACUGGAACUGGCGAGUUAGGGCUUUCAUACACCUUCCCUGUGGUCUCGCCGGCCGCCUUCAUAACCUGCUGCUUCUCCUUCAUCUUCGGCGAUGAGCUUGCUCUGGCGAUCGCCAACGUCUAGGUCGCCUGAAUCUACAUCUGCCGACUUGAUCUUUAACCUGGCGAUCGCCUAUCCUGAUAAGCUGGAAAUCGGAACACGCCAACUUAACAACUGGCGACUACACGUGCCUCCCGACCUCCUUCCUUUCUGCCAACCUGGCGCCUUGCCAACACGCCUACACUGUAGCAGGAUGCCACGUCAUCACACCCGACCACCAGGGCGGUACAGUUAAAUAUCAAGAUUCCAAAGUGUCUUGAUAGAAGUUGGCAGCCCAAGGUGAUUGCAAUCAUAAAAUCCAGAGAUUUAUCAAAGCUUUCCACUGCUGCACUAUUCAGGAAACUUAAAGAACAUGAGUUAGAGCUCAACAGAUUGAAUGAGCAAGAAUAAGUGGAAAGGAAAAUCAAAAGCAUUGCUCUGAAGACCAGUGUGUAAAAUGAAAUGAGUGAAGAAGAAGAAAAUUCAGGACAAGAUGAAACUCUGAGUCUUCUCACUAGAAAAUUUAGCAGGUUCAUGAAAAAGAAAAGUCGAGAAAGAACACAACCAAAGAAGAGGUACUCUAAACUUAAUGAAUCUAAUUCCUCUAAUUACACUUGCUUUGGCUGCGACAAAUCAGUUCAUAUAAAAGUUGAUUGUCCAAACAAUCAAAACAAGGAUAAACAAGCCAACAAGAAGGUUGAAAGAAGUAGAGGCAAAAGGGCAUAUAUCUCCUGGGAAGAUAAUGAAGUAUCUUCAUCAGGUGACCCAUCAACUGAAAGUGAAGAAACAAACCUGUGCUUUUUGGUGAACAAUGAAGAAUCAAGCUAUGAUUCGAUUAGUAAUUACUCAACUGAUUCAGAAAGCUAUGAUCAACUGUUAAUUACAUUUAAAGAAACCCAUGAUGAAGCAAAUAAUCAACUUGAACCAAAGGUUAAAUCAUUAGAAAAGGAAUUGUUUGAAGCUAAAACAAAGUUGGUUAACCUUGAAUUAACAUGUAUACAUGUUUCUAUUAAAACAUGUGAAAAUUGUAAGGGUUUACAAAAGGAGGUUAAGUAUAUGUUAAAAACUUUGUCUAAUUUCACUAAGGGUAGGGAAAACCUUGAAACGCUCUUAGGGUCACAAAAUAUUAUCUUUAAUAGGAAUGGGAUAGGAUACAAUUUAGGAAGAAAGAACAAUGUUAAAAUGUUGUCAAGUUUUUUUGUUCCUACAAAGACAGGUUUUUCUUCUUUCAACAGUUUCAAAUCAAAGUACUUUAUCUCUUGUUUUUACUGUAUGAAAUUAGGUCACACAUCUAGAACAUGUAAGUUUAGGAAUUAUCUUGUUCCAAAAUGAUUAGUCAAAUGGCUUCCUAAGGAAAGGUGAUAAUUGGUUGGAGCCAAUACUAAAGGGUAUCAUAUGUAUAGACUUUCCUUUUGCAGAAAAAUGGCAUGAAAUCAAACAAUUUUGACAGUGGUUGCUCCAAACAUAUGACUGGUGACCUUACUUAAUUCACAUAUUUUGAAGCUUAAAGCAUAAGGGCAUGUAACCUAUAGGGACAACAACCGUGGAAGGAUCCUAGAAAGAGGAAAUGUUGGAACCAAAGGAUCAACAUUAAUAGAGAAUGUGUUAUAUGUGGAAGGAAUGAAACAUAGUCUUCUAAGCAUCAGUCAACUGUGUGACAAAGAUUACAAAGUUAAUUUGAAACCAAUAUGUGUACAAUUUCAAAUGAAGUCACUGGUAAGGUGAUAUUCACAGGUAAAAGGGUAAAUAAUAUCUAUCUCCUAGAUAUCAUGCAUAACUAUUCUGUAAAUGAGUUCCUUUUAUCAAAGGAUGAUGAGUCAUGGUUAUGGCAUAGGAGAUUAGCCUGCAUUCAUACGAAUCAUUUAAACAAAUUAAAAACUAAAGAGCUUGUUUCUAGUUUACCAAAUAUAAAAUUCCAAGAUAACAGAUUGUGUGAUGCAUGUGUGAAGGGUAAGCAAACAAGAGUCUCUUUUAAACAAAAGAAUGUAAUUUCUUCAAAUAAACCAUUGGACGUCUUGCAUAUGGAUUUGUUUAGGCCUUCCAGAAAUGCUAGCUUAGCUGGAAACUUUUAUGCUUUGGUGAUUGUGGAUGAUUUCUCGAGAUAUACUUGGACUUUAUUUUUAGUCUCUAAGAAUGAUGCCUAUGAAACUUUCAAGAAAUUGCCUAAAAUAUUGUAAAAUGAAAAUGGUUGCAACAUAAAAUCCAUUCGAAGUGAUCAUAGGGGGAAUUUCAAAAUGCUAGAUUUGAUAAGUUUUGUGAAAAGCAUGGUAUCACACAUAGUUUUCAUCCCCUAUGACUCCUUAACAAAACGGUGUGGUAGAAAGGAAAAAUAAAUCAUUAGAGGAACUAGCCAGAACUAUGUUAAACGAAUCAAAUCUCCAUAAAUAUUUAUGGGUUGAUGCUAUAUACAUUGCUUCAUAUGUGUAAAACAAAAUUUUGAUUAGGCCAAUUCUAAAGAAAACUCCUUAUGAAAUUUAUAAAGGUAGAAAGCCUAAUAUAAGCCAUCUUAGAGUUUUUGGGUGCAAAUGUUUUGUGUUGAAUAAUGGAAAAGAUGAUCUCAGAAAAUUUGAUCCUAAAUCUGAUUAGGGUAUCACAUUAGUUAUGCUAUAAAUGGACAUGCUUACAAGGUUUACAAUAAAAGAUUACUAAUUGUGGAUGAAUCUAUUCAUGUUGUGUUUAAUGAAUCUGAUAAUUACUUACUUAAACCUAUUGUGGAUGCACUUGAAGCAAAUGAUUUAAGAACUGUACUUCAAAAGAAUCAAUUGAUUGAUUCAAAUACAAUUGAUUCAAGUGCUUCCAAAGAACCUGCUGUGACAACAGAAUUGCCCUGAGAAUGGAAAACUCCUAAGGACUUGACACUUGAGAAUGUGAUAGGUACAUUGAGAAAGGAGUUUCAACUAGGAAUUCUCUAAAUAAUUUCUGUGAAAUGAUGGCUUUUGUCUCACAAAUGGAACCCAAAAAUCUGAAUGAAGCUCUACAAGACAACAACUGGAUUUUGGCUAUGCAAGAAGAGUUAAAUCAGUUUACAGGGAAUGAGGUAUGGUCUCUGGUUCCAAGAACAUUCGAGAUGAAUAUAAUAGGUACUAAGUGGGUAUAUAAAAACAAAAUGGAUGAACAUGGGAUCAUCACAAGAAACAAAGCAAGGUUGGUGGCCAAAGGUUAUAACCAAGAAGAAGGAAUCGAUUAUGAAGAGACCUAUGUUCCGAUGGCAAGGGUAGAAGUUGUCAUACUUCUCCUAGCUUUCUCAUGCAUAAAGGGAUUCAAACUAUUUCAAAUGGAUGUCAAGAGCGCCUUUCUGAAUAGUUAUACAAAUGAAGAAGUCUUUGUUUCAUACCCACCUGGUUUUGAGGAUCAUAAAUUUCUAAACCAUGUGUUCAAACUCAAAAAGGCUCUAUAUGGUCUCAAACAAGCACCUAGGAAAUGGUAUGAAAGACUGAGAAAUUUAUUACUAUCACAAGGCUAUAAAUAUGGUACAUCCGAAAAGACCUUAUUCAUUAAGAAAAAUGGUGAAGAUAUUAUACUUGUACAAGUAUAUGUGGAUGAUAUCAUUUUUGGUUCAACAAAUGAGAGUUUAUGUGAAACAUUUGUAAAGGUCAUGAAGAUCAAAUUUGAGAUGUCUAUGAUGGGAGAGCUGAAUUAUUUCCUUGGCCUGCAAGUUAAAUAGCUAAAAGAUGGGAUCUUUAUAAAUCAAGAAAAUACUGCAAGGACCUUUUGAAGAAAUUUGAGAUGGAUCAGUGCAAAGCAAUCAACAUCUAUUUCUACAAGUUGUCAUCUUGAUCAAGACCCUGCUGGAAAACCGGUUGAUCAAACUAAGUUCAGAUGUUUAAUUUGUUCUUUAUUGUAUCUAACAGCUAGUAGACCUGAUAUAAUGUUUGCUAUUUGUAUGUGUGCCAGGUUCCAAUCUGCACCCAAGGAGUCACAUCUCAAUGCUGCUAAAAGAAUUUUGAAGUACUUACAAGGAAGCAAAGAAGUUGGUCUAUGGUAUCCAUGUAAUGUGUCUUUAAGUUUUAUUGGUUUUUCUGACUCAGAUUUUGCAGGUUGUAAAAUAGACAGAAAAAGCACAAGUGGAACAUGUCAUAUGCUUGGGUCAAGUUUAAUAUCUUGGCAUUGCAAAAAACAAGUGUGUGUAGCUUUAUCCACAGCUGAGGCAGGAUACAUUGUUGCAGGAAGUUGUUGUGUCCAAACUCUAUGGUUAAAACAACAGCUAAUUGACUUUGGUAUUGUGUUAAGUAAAAUACCUCUCUUAUGUGAUAAUACUAGUGUUAUUAACUUGACUAAAAAUCCAAUUAUGCACUAUAGAACUAAACAUAUAGAGAUAAGGCGUCAUUUUCUACGUGAACACAUUGCGAAUGGGAAUUGUGAAAUUAAAUUCAUAAGAACUAAACUACAGCUAGCUGAUCUAAUCACAUUCUUGCAAAAGAAAGGUUUAAUUUCUUAAGAAACGAAUUAGGCAUAAUAAGCUUGAACUGCUAUCUGCAAUAAAACUAUAAUUUUUUACUUGUUGGUUUAACAUGUUGUUUAUCUGGUCCAGGAUCACAUGCAUGAUUAGGAAAGAGAAACAUUUUUUUUCUGACCUUUGACUGACAUUAAGGGGUGGUUAUUGACCAACAGAUUUAUGAUAGCAUUGUUUAGGAAAUCCUAACUGAAAAAAUGCAUUGAUUGGUUUGUAUGAUUCAAAUUGAAAAUUGGUUUCCUAAUAUAUUCUUCCUCUUUUCGAAAUGGUACAACCCUGCACACAAUAGAAUAAUAUUUGUACUGCAUAUCUUCCAUGACAUUUUCUCCAGCUUCUCACUCCACCUUUUGAACCUUUUUUUUCUAUAUAAAUUUGUGUUUGAACAAAUUGCUCACUUCACUUAACUACAUUAAAAACUCUCUCUUACUAUCCAGGUUAUUUCUUCUCUCUGUGACUUCUCUAUCAGCACUACACUGAUAGUGUUUCAUUUCUUUAUUCUCUAACAUAGUUUCUAGCACUUCUCUCUAUUAUGUACAGACAAGUAGCAUUAGAAUGGCCUCCUCCUCACUCAAGAAAAGAAUAGUCCCAGAGCAAUCCAACAAUAACCAUGGUGUGCUCGAAAAUUGGUUUGCUGGUGAUGUAGAAGCAAUGACAACCUUCAUGCAUGAGAUGAGCAAAAAGCAUAUCAACAUUCUGAAGGUACUAGAAAUCUCUUGGUUGAAAAGAGAAAACUUGGAAGAACCAAGAGUUGUGCUGAAACAUCAAAGGCUGAAACACUUAUUGGAAAUGACCGAGAACAUAUAUCCUGAUUUGAUAAAGGUCUUCUACACAAAUAUCACUCUGGAUGGGCGAAAUCUAGUUUCAUAUGUCAUGGGUGUCAAGCUACCAUUUCAAAUCAUGUAUGUAGCAACAUAGAAGGAAUAAAGUGCUAUGUAUUGAAGGUAAGCAAAGGGAACACUGUUGGAAUUCAGGAAUUCAACAAAAUCCAGUUUUACAGAAGUUGUGUAAGGAACCUUGCUCUGUCUGAAAAUCGGUUCCAUGCAUGUAAUCUAAAUGUAACCCCUCGUUUCCUGGCUUACAUCAUUGCAUGGAAACUCACACCAAGAGGUAAUAAUCAUGUUGUUCUUCGUGAGGAAGAUUUAAUUCUCAUGUAUUGCAUAAUGAACUGAAUCAAAAUCAAUUGGGUCUGCAUUAUGAUGGAACACAUGUUGAAAUCCAUAAGACUUACUGAUUAUAAAUUUCCAUAUGCUAUUUUCAUUUCCAAACUAAUUGAUUAUUUUGAGGUGGACACUUCUGGUGAGAGGAAUGAGACCAUUGGGGCUGUUAAUGAGAUAGAUAGGUCUACUCUCACCAAAAUGGGUUUUCAAAAGGAGGAGAAUGGAUGGGUGAAUACAGCUCCAAGAGUGGAACAUGAAGGAUUUAAUCAUGGCAAUCAAGAUGAAGGGCACAAUGGUGGAAGCUGCAGAAGCAUCAUGCUCUGAGAUGCACAACUUCUCUCCUCAUGGAAUACACUAAGGAACUCCUGUUUCAUCCAUGUAUGAGGAGUAUUUUGCAAAUGAUAUGAAUGCUCUCAUUGCAUAUCAAGAACCUGAGUACCGUGGUGAACCAUUAUCCAUCUUUGAAAGGCAUGUUUUGUAUCGAAUGGACACACUAUCUGCAGAUCAAAUAGCAUACUUUGAGAUGACAUAAGCAAGGUUUCAGAACUUGGAUCAUUAGAUUGAAGGUGUCCAGGAGCAAAUGAUAGAACUUUGUUAUAGGGAGAAAUAAUUUUCUCUAUCGAUUUGGGAAUUGUUUAAAUCUGAACUGUGUUUUAUGAUUCUUGCACAAAUUUUAUUUUUUUUCCCUGCACUGGUUUUGUUUUGGACUGUAAUGUGCUUAAGCACUUUGAAUUUUUUUAAAACUAUUCUGCUUGUAUGUUCAUUGGUGUUUGUUUAUUUAUAUGUGCCCUAAUUAUGUUUGAUGAAAACAAAGGUCCUUUGUUGGAAGAUAUUUUGUUUUGUUUUGUAUUGUCAAAAUGCAGGUGAUAUAGAACUGGUUGUGAGUCUUCCUUCAAAAAUGGAGAUUUGUCUCCAUCAAACAAUGGGAGACUGUUGGGAUAAGUGAAUAUUCUACUCAACUUUCAUGAAGAAAUGUUUGAUGAAGACAACUUGUUUGAAGGUGUAUGAAAAAUGUAUUUCAUGGCUUUAGUUAGGUUAGAAUUAUUUAAGUAGUCUUUUGCACUUUGAUUCAACCUCAUUUCAUGGCUUUACAGCACAAAAAUUUAAUCUGUUGCUUAACAAAACAAUUGAUUCAUUGGUACUGCAUCAAAAUUGUUUUGCUUUUUCAAGAUUCUGUUUUGACUCCAAAAUUAUGUUUUGUUCACACUUUCAGUUUUCAACUAAUCAGAAAGUGGUUAUGUAUCACCAAAUGUAUUUUCAAAAUACAACUCGUUCUUUUAAACUUGAAUAUGUUAUUUUAUAACAAUUUUUAACUAUUUUUGGGAAAACUGUUUUGAUUUUAAACCUAUAGAUAAUGAGCUUAAUCUCGGGUCAAAUCACCCCUUGCAACUACAAAGUGUAUAUAGUUUUUGAUGGGUUGAUACCAAGGGCCUCUUCCAUCAGUUUUCAAGUGCUUUUAUUAACUUUUUCAAGUGAUCUUAGUGUUUUGAAAGUUUUUCUUAAAAACUUUUAAGUGUUCUUAUGUUGGUUCUUUUGGCUUGGAAUUCAAGGUUCUGCCAAGUGUUGCAACUGUGAAGGUCCUGGUUUGAACACUUGAGUCUACAAUCAAGGUGUUUCCUUUCCUAAUUAUUUUUUAUUGUAAAAGUGUCUGUGUAUGUUUCUUGAUAGUUUUUCUUAAAGUAGAAAGCUACUGAAAUAGGGGUUUCUUCAGUUUGUGUUUUUGGUUCUUGUAGGUUCAAGAAUUGGAUGGUUUGUAAUCUUUUUGUAAAGAUUGUUGUGGUUCUAGUGGAAUCCAUAUUAGUAUAAGGUAGGACUGGAUGUAGCUCACAUUGAGUGAACCAGUAUAAACCUGUGUGUGCUUCUCUUCUCUCUCAAUCGUUGCAUUCAAAACUGAAAUCUGGAUAUCUGUGAUAAAAUAAAUCUGUUUUUCUAAAAUUGAAUCUGUUGUUUUAACUAUCGUAUUGGCAUAAAUCACAUUCUAUUUUCCAUAUUUUAAUAAGUCUUUAAUCAAUCUUUGAACUUGAGGGAACCUUAAUCUUUGACAGAUUUACUCUUAAAGAUAAGACUUUUAAAAGCAUUCUUGGUUUAAGAUUUGAUAUCCUUGUUUUUGUUCAUAACAGUUCAUUGUAUAAAGAUCAUAAUUGAUAAGUCAUAAAUAAAAUUUGUUGAUUCUAAGUUAAUCUAUUCUAUUCCUGAAACUACUUUCUGAAACCAGGAAAUCAAUAUAUUUUUCUUUAAAUCAAUUUUUUAUUUUUCUGUCAGGAUUUCUUAAGUAGUAUUUUUGCAAAAAUUUCUCUAAGUCCAAUUCACCCCCUGUUAAGCUUAGACUCUCAUAAUCUCAACAAACACAACCCAAAUACAUAAUAAGAAGACUACAAAGAAGUCACUGAAAUUGACUAUCGUCAUCUGCUUUGAGUGAUUAACAAAAUUGGAUAUGAUUCAGUACAAAUCAAAUUUGACACUAAUGUUGCACAAAUGAUCAAUAGUUGAGAAAAUGCUCAAUUCUACACACACGCGUGCAGUGUGAAUAGACAUGGAGCAACAUAUUUAUCUAAACCAAUGAUUUACACAAAACAACUCUCAUGAAUUAAUUCAUGAUUUAGAAAAUAAUACAUAUAUCGACCACCUCGACAUGUAUUUCAUUUAUAAAAAAAAACUAAAUAAAAUUUCAAUUUUUUUACUAUAAAUUAUUUUUUCCUAUCCAUAAUUAUUUAAAAACUACUUUUUCAAAUUUACCAAUAUUUUAUUUAUGUAAUUCAUUAUUCACUAUUCAAUAAUUUCAAUUAUAUCAAAUACUUUCCAUUCGUAUUUUAACAACCUCUCUUUUCUAUUCUUGUUCACAAACUUUUCUUAUUUACAUAUUUUUUUUAAUUUAAAUUUCUUUAAAAUAAUGUACUUGUAAAGAAUUAUUUAUUCAAAACAUUACUUCUCUAAAUUAAUGUAUUAAAUACACUUAUUUUUUUAAAAAAAAUAAUCUACUUUUUACAACUUAAUAAUUUCAGUUAUAUCAAGCACUUUCCAUUAUUUUUUAAAAUUCGUUCUUUUCUAUUUUUUCAUGAUUUUUUCUUAUUUACAUAUUUUUUNNNNNNNNNNNNNNNNNNNNNNNNNNNNNNNNNNNNNNNNNNNNNNNNNNNNNNNNNNNNNNNNNNNNNNNNNNNNNNNNNNNNNNNNNNNNNNNNNNNNUUAACUUUGUUAAGAUUAUUUAGCCUGUAACUUUUCUAAAGUUAAAUUUUUAGUAACUAUGUUUUUAAAUUUUAUUAAAAAAUCAUAAAAUAUGUAUACUUUUAUAUAUUUUAUUAAAUUUUAGCCAUUUAAUAAAUAAUAUAUAUUUUUAUUCACAGACUGAUUAAACUAGGUUGAACCUCUACGUGUCAACUAAAAAAUUUGACACUUUUUAUAAAGAUGAAAUAUAUAUAUAUAUAUAUAUAUAUAUAUAUAUAUAUAUAUAUAUAUAUAUAUAUAUAUAAAUUCCAGCUUAUAAUUCAGCUUUUCGAGAACUAGAAGACUGAUUUUUCUGGUCUGUCAGCAUCCAACCGCAGAAGAAUUUGACUUCUGAAAAAAAACCUAUUCUUCUUCAACUUAAACAAUAAAUUAUAUCUAUGUAUGUAAAAGGAACGAUUUAUUAUUGGAAAGAAAAUAAAGUGUUGUAGCUUGGUGAAAAAUUCACAACACUGUUGUAGAAAAAAGUAGCCCAGAAAUAUCGUAUUUUAAUUAUGAAUAGAAAACCAUGCUAUUUUUGUAAAUUUUUCCUAGAAUAUGCUAGCCGAGAAGAAAAACAGUGCUAAACAGGUAAAAAUUUCAAAACAGUGUCAUGAAAGCUGGCAACUUAUGGUUUGGUCCCGUCCUACUUUUUUUUUUUUCUUUUAACGGGAACCUCGCCCUACUUUCUUUCUUUAACAGGUCUAUAUGCCCAUACACAUUUUAAAUUUUUUUGAAAGUCUAAAACCGUGUAAAUCAACUCAAAACUGUGACUUCCAAAUAUAUAGAAAUUUGUUAACUCGUUCUUUUUAAAAAAUAAAUAAGUAUAACUUAAUGAAAAUAUAGAUUUCUUUUUAAUAAAAUUCUAAAUAACUCAAUAUUUUUUUUCUAAUUUAUGGUUAACUAUUGAACAUGAUAAUAUUUAUCAUUUAAAUAAGUAAAACAUUCUUUAUUAUCUUUAAAGUUAAUUUAUUCGUUAAAGUAACUAGAAUAUCUUUCCAUAUUAGGUUAUAUCUCUCUAACAAAAGAGAUGUUUCAAAAACUAUUACUUUAAACAUUUUUUUUUCUAGAUUCCUGGUAUACAAAAAGUCUUAUUUUCCUAACAACAGAAAGAAAGAAAAAAAAUCUUAAAACCGUAUUAUUUGUAAUGCUACAAUAUUUUGAAAAAAAAAACUUCAACUUGCCCAGACGCACUAAACAUUUGCUACAACUCUAUUAUUUUAUAAUUACACCUAGUUUAACUCAUAUGUUUUUCUCAUUAAUCAUGCAUUAAUGCUUUGUUUGAAUCAUAAAUUAGAUUUGAAGGAAUAAAUUUGAAAUGAUUUAUGGAGAAUUUUUUUUUAAAAUGAGAUGUUUUAGAUUAAGAUAAACAAAAUGAAAAAUGAAAAAAAAUUAUGAAAAAUUGUAAGUAAUAUGAAAUGUUUUUUAUAUUUAUUAUAUAUUAAAUUAGUUUUACAUAAAUUUAUUUAAUUUUUUAUUUUAUAAUAUAAUAUAAUUUAAUAUUAUUUUAUCUUUAUUAUAUUACAUUAUAUUAUAUAAUACUAUAUAAUCGAUUAUAUUUAACUAAUCAAUUAUAUAUAUAUAUAUAUAUGUGUGUGUGUGUUAUGCUUAUUUUUUAACAUAUAGUUGUUUAUAUAUGAAAUUUAUAAUAUAUAGUUAAUUAUAUAUAUAAUCAAUUAUAUUAUAUAUCAUAAUUAAAUUAAUAUAUUUUAAAAUUAAUUUAUAAUUUUAUUUAUAAUUUAAAAUUAAAAUUAUCAUAUUUAAAUUUUGUUUUGAAAGUUAUUGAUAUAUAAAAUAUAUUGAUAAUCGAUUUGAAUCGAUGAUAUAUUAAAAAAAUAUAUAAUCGAUUUGCUUCAACGUAAUUAUUAUCUUUCUAAAAUACUUUUUAUAAUUGAUUAUGUAUUAACGAUUAAUUGAUUAUUUCUCUAAAUUUUUUAUUAUCAUUUACUAUCUCUUAAACAAAAUUCAUAAUAGUAAGUAGAUAAUUAUAGCAUACAUAACUGUCUUUUCUUGUAAUUUAAACUAAAGAGCUAGGAAUCCUUUUUCUUUUUGCUUUCCUACGCUUCUCCUUUCUAACAUAGAAAGUGAAAUGAUUUCCAUAAAUGAAUCAGGAUGAAUAGUAUUUAUUUGCUUUAAGAUGGAGAAGUCAAAUUGUUUUGAAAGCUGCCAAAUUAGCAAGCAGAGAUCCAGCACAUAUUAUGGAGGAAUAAAUAAUUCAUUUCCACGAACCAAAUAAAAGGACCCUACCCUUCUCCGAAUGGUACACGGGAUUUGUCUUCUUGUCCCCAUGCCGUGUUGUUGUUAUCCGCGCCAUCUCUCCCCUUAGCUGGCCAUGCUCUGUCCCCACCAUUCACUCAAUGCCAACCUACAAAUCAAUUCCCUUCAAUUUCAUUACCACUCACACUAUCCCCAACUAUAUAUAUCCACCAACACUUCCCUCUUCUUCACCAACUACAUUUCCCUUCUUUCUCAAACAACAUCAACAAAUGGCCUCUCUUACAUCCUCAAGCCUUCUCCUCACUCUUCUUCUGGCUGUUUCCAUUCUUGGUUUCAGUUCAGCCAGGAAGCUCAGUGAGUCAGAUUCCCAGUUACAGUUCCAAUACCACAGAGGACCUCUCCUCACAGGCAAAAUCUCCGUCAACCUCAUUUGGUACGGCAACUUCAAACCUUCCCAGAAAGCCAUCGUCACUGACUUCAUCACCUCCCUCUCCUCUCCCAAACCCCUCACACCCCAACCAUCGGUUGCCACGUGGUGGAAAGCCACCCAAAAAUACUACAAAACCUCAUCCCCCAAACUCUCCCUCUCCCUUGGCUCUCAGAUCCUCGAUCAAAACUACUCCUUCGGCAAAUCACUCACCAGCGAUCAAAUCCUCAAGCUCGCAUCCAAGGGUCCUCAGAGAAACGCCAUCAACGUGGUUCUCACGUCUGCUGACGUGGCAGUGGAAGGCUUCUGCUCCAGCAGGUGCGGGACUCACGGCUCCUCCAUGGGGGCGCGCGUGAACGGGAAGAGGUACAAGUUCGCUUACGUGUGGGUGGGUAACUCCGAAAGCCAGUGCCCGGGGCAAUGCGCGUGGCCAUUCCACCAACCCAUUUACGGUCCCCAGAACCCAGCUCUGAUUGCGCCGAACAACGAUGUUGGUGUUGAUGGCAUGGUCAUCAACGUGGCUAGCCUCUUGGCUGGCACUGUCACUAACCCUUUCGGGAACGGAUACUUCCAGGGACCCAAAGAGGCUCCUCUCGAAGCUGCCUCCGCCUGCACCGGUGUCUACGGGAAGGGCGCCUACCCUGGCUAUGCAGGGAACCUCUUGGUGGACCCCACAACCGGUGCCAGCUACAACGCCAAUGGUGUCAACGGAAGGAAGUAUCUUUUGCCAGCUCUCUUUGACCCUAAAACCUCUGCUUGUUCAACCAUAGUCUAAAACCACCACUCAGCUUUCACUUUUCACCCUCUUUAGCUGUUAGGCAACACGAACAUUCUUUCAUUUCUUCAUUCAUUCGGCCAUGAUACAAGAGAAUUAUAGUGUUAACUAGUACGAUGCUUAGUUAUAAUAAACUUUUAUAUUGAGAUGUAUUAGAAACUAUAGCACAAUUAUAUUAAUAAUAUUUUGAUUGCUUUUUAUUUUAAUGAGUGUUUGCAGAAAUUAUAGCUGUCCACUUUACAAACAUGAAUAACUAAAAAGGUAGCCAACAGAAAACCUAAAUAAAUUUUCCCCACGGAAAAUGAGUUAAUAAAAAAAUAUACAUGUUUCAAAAUAAAGUAAGAAAAAAAUUAACCAUUACAAUGGCAACCACAUCAUUUAAAAAGCACACAAUCAAAUAUGAAAGCUUUUUUUUUUUAUCAUAUUGGGCUAGAUUUAAAACCUUAUUAUCAAAAUGAUGGGAUAGAUUUUUAAAACAUUGCGAGUUUGGAGAGAUAGUAUAAAUGUUACAUGACUUUAUUACUUUAUUGUGAGAAAGUAAUCAAUGACAAUUUUUUAUCACAUAAAAAAAAGUUGUGUUAAUGUGAUAAUUUUAGUCUAUGUUAAGUGGUGUUAAGGUGAUAUAAUUUGAAUUAUAUGUAAUUGACACGAUUUUAGUAAUAAGUAUAAAGUUAUCUCAACCUAACAUGAUUUUGGUUAAUAAAUUUUUUUUAAAGUUACACUUUAAGUUUUAUCACUUUAAUAAGACUUGAGUUUUAGUAUUUUUUUUUUUAAAAAAAAGUGUUUAUUUCUUUAUUUUUUUAAAAAUGGAAUUAUUAAUUUAACAAAUUUUAUAAAAUUAAGAAAAAAAAAUAAUUGAAAAAUGGUGUUAAAACCCUAAAUAUAAAAUGUAAAUUAAAAGCUUAAAAUAUAUAAAAAUGCCAAAAAAUAAUAAAAGUUAAACGGUUUAUUUUUUGAAAAUUUUGUAAACCCAAUUCUCCUUCGGAUAUUGGUUGUUGCAUUCCUUAUCUCAUUUUUAACGCGUUUCAAUCUGAACUCUAUCAAAAGUUAAGAUCAUAUGAAGUUUUUUCAUACAAAACUUUAUAAAAAUCAUCAAUUUCUUUCCUAUCCUGAUUUCUUUUACAAAAAUUUCUUAAUUUUAUACAAAUUUUCAAAUUAAUAAUUCAAUUAAUUAUUUCAAUUUUUUAAAAACCAAAAGAAAACAAACAUUUUUUUCAAAAAAUAAAUUCAGUGAAAUUGAAAGUGUAUCCUUAAAACAAAAUUCGUUAAUCAAAAUCGUACCUCCUUACAACAACUCCACUUUGAUAUGGUCAAAAUCAUGUCACCUAACAUGACUUACUGACAAUGAAGUCGUGUCACAUUGACACAACUUCUUCCAACUCAUAAUUUUUAAAACCAACCACAUUUCGAUAGUAAGCAUGUAAAAUUGUCCUAACAUAGUAAAAAAAACAAAUUAUGAAUAGUGAAAUUUUGUCUAAAAUGACUUUAUAAAAAGAUCGUACAACUUUGUUGAGAUUUGUAGUAUAACUUUAAUAAUUUUAAGUUUUUUUUUUCAUUAAAGGUAGAAGUUAUGUUUGUAAACAUCAUCUUAAGGUUUUUUCCUUUCAAAAAUGGAAUUAAAACAUGAUUUUAGAAUGUUUAUUUUUAUUUUAAAUUUAAUUAUAAAAUUCAUGAUUAAUACAUCAUUUCGUUAAUCUUCUUUACGUCACCUUCAGUGAAAACCAACUCCACAUUAGAACAGGAAAUCAACCAGAGAGAGUGUUCCUUGAGUAGUGAUCAACCUGAAAAAUGCACGUGGUUUCGAUUUCAAAAUGAAAACAUACUAUUGUUCUGCAAAUAAACUAAUCAGAAAAAUGAAAAGCAAUCUUGAGAAACUAAACAGAAGAAAGGAAAGAUAGAUGGAGCUUCAACUAAGAGAUGAAGAUUUUCUAGGGCUUGAGAUGCCUCCUCCGAAACUACGAAAGUGUGUAAAAAACAUUAAUGCCUCAUUCGAAACGAAACUGAAAAUAGUGGGAAACAAAAAACUUUCCUGCGACUCAAUAAAAAAUUGUGGAGAGAUAUCAGGAUUUUCCAAACAUCUGGUACUUGCGUGUUUAAUGAAGGUUAUUAUAACCUCUAAUAAAAAACCCCUCUUAAAAUUAAUUUUUUAGUGAUUAUUAACACAAAUUUAGUUUUUGUUUUCUAGGUUUUAGUUGACUUCAUGUUAGUAAGCACAAUUUUAAUAUAUUGUAAUACAUACUAAAUUACAGUAUUUGGAGUUAAUUUUUUGUCAUGUUUAGAACUUAAAAGUACACAAUAUUAUUGAAUAGAUAUAAAAAAGUUAUAUAUGAGAGUUUGUGUUAAUAUUUUUUGUUUUUAUUUUUGUGUGAGUAUUGUUUUUGUUAUAAUUCUUAUUAGGUAAGUCUUUGUUGUGUUGGUGUGGUAAGUGCUAGAAUAUUACGUGGAGGCUUGAAUUUCCUUUUCUAUGCUAUGACCAUGUACGUACUUUUUGUUAUUAUUAUCUUCCAUCAGUGUGGUUCUAUUAGUUUAUAAAUGCCUUUGAAUUGUGUACUUGGUAUUUUGUCAUGGAAGGGAUGCCAAAUAUAUUUGAUCGAGAUGGAAUAAUAUUAUACCUGUAAGGAACUUGUGAAAAUUGAUAUUUUCCAAGCUGGUUGUGACGAUAAUCCAUACAUUCAUAUAAUGGAAAAGGUUGAAAACUAGAGUAAUCCAUCAUAUUGUUUUUGAUGUAGAUGUAUAUUUGAUGAAGAGCCAACAAUUUUCCUCUAUUUUUUUAGUAUUGAGUGCUAAGGAUUUGUUUUUUGUUUUUCUAGGCAUCAUGCUAAAUAACCUUUUCAUGAACUUUAAAGAUCCAAUGAGCUCCUCAAUGUAAGCGCUAGAGGUCCAUAAACGCUAUUUGGGCUAUUUCUUGAGAUCUUCAUGAAGUAAGCACAAUUUUUAGAAUACUCUUCCAAAGGAGUUAAACUUCUUUAUAAUGACUUGGAAUCCGCAAAAAAAAAUGCUUGAAUGUUUUCAUUCUCCUUCAUGUUAAACAACUUAUAUUGGAGAGUCAAAAGAAUAACUUUAUUUCUCUUACUUCGUGUGUAUAACUAGUGUGUUCCACAUCUUUACACAUUUAAGUGCAUGAAUUUUUGCAUAUUCAUCUUUAGAGAUGUCACACAUGAGUAUUAGACACAUAGUUUUCAUUCUGUUAUUACAGUUACAUAUCACUGUUAUAUAUACAUGUAUCCCAUGCAUCCCAUGCAUCCUUCUCAACACAAUAACUUAUAUAUUCAGAUAUACUUUUCUCUUUCUCCUUUCUUUUAACAUGGUAUCCAGAGCUACCUCUUUUCCAUGACCUCUUCCGCUACCUCUCCUUCUACCCCUCCUUUAUCACCUUCUUCCUCUAUUUCUUCUCCUCCUUUGUUGCCAAUGGCGUCUCCUUCCUUACGCCAUUUUUCUAGUCCGAUUACCCUCAAACUUACAACUGAAAAUUUUAUGAUUUGGAAACAACAAAUUUUUGCUACUUUUCGUGGUCUUGAUCUCCUACAUCUCCUUGAUGGUACUCAUAUUCCAUAUGAGUUUCUCCCAUCUAAUGAUCAGGAUCAAGAACCCACCAUCAACCCAUUUUUUCUCCAUUAUCAUAAGCAAGACCAGUUUAUCGUCACCUGGUUGCUGGCCUCCAUGUCCUCCUCCAUCUUAACCAAAAUGGUUGGUUUAGACUCUUCUGCUGCUAUAUGGACACACUUAUCCACAUAUUACGCCUCCCAUACAAGGGCCACCAUCAAGAAACUUUGCCUUCUUCUUCGCACACCCAAGAAUUACAGAACCGUUGCAAACUACCUUUUUGAUAUCAAAAAGACUGUUGAUUCUCUAUCUGCCUUUGGUGCUUCCAUUUCUAACGUCGAACACAUAGAUGUCAUUCUUAAUGGUCUAUCGGAGGAAUAUGAUGAUUUCAUCAUUGCGGUUCUCUCGCGUUCUGAUCCCUACACUGCUGACGAACUGGAGUUUUUACUCCUUGCUCAAGAAGAAAGGUUUGAGAAACAUAAACUCAUUCAAAAUUCCGUCAUUCAAGCCAAUUAGGUUUCCACGCAAUGGUUUUCACCUCGUCCCACCAAGAAACCCAAUUUUCACACCAAAUCUUACUACGGUGGUCACAACCAGAGUCACCCAUCGUAUCCAAACUUUGUGCCUUUCUUUUCUGGACCAAGACCUAUCACUCGUCCUCUUUUCCGCCAUUCUGCACCUUGGAAUUCAAGUAAACCCCAUUGUCAUAUCUGCCACAAACAAGGGCACACUGUUGAUACCUGCUGUCAUAGGUAUGAUCCUCCUAUUGCUUGUUCGAUUACAGCUAACAUUUCUCAAUCUUCCAUCUCAGUCGGUGAUGAUUCUGCUCCAUCUAUUCUGGGUGCUCCAUCGACCAUCAAAGAUCCUCUUGGUACCCCAAUAGUGAUGCUACCAACCAUGUCACUAGCGACCCAUCUGUUUUUCACAACAAAUUAUCAUAGCUCCGAAUCUUUAAAGGUUGGCAACGAUCAAGGUAUGAAUAUUAUACACACUAGCUCUACUUUCUAUAUUGCACCACACACACACAUAAAGUUUCUUCUACAUCAUCUGUUACACGUACCACAUAUCACCAAAAACUUGAUUAGUGUUGCUCAAUUUACAAAAGAAAAUAAUGUUUAUUUUGAAUUUUAUCCUCACUCUUGUUUUGUUAAACAUCAGGACACUCAUCAGAUUCUCAUUCAAGGAAUAGUUAGAUAUUGUCUAUAUGUUUUUCCUUCUUCCCCUGAUUCACUCUCUUACACCGCUAAUCAUGCUUCAUACAAACCGAAUGUUCCUCCCUUACAACUCUAGCAUAACAGGCUUGGGCACAACAGUUUUGCUAUUGUUCAGCGUGUUUUAAAAUCUUGUAAUAUACAAUAUAACUCUCAGACUCAAUUUUGUAAUGCAUGUGUGAUCGAUAAGACACACCAACUUCCUUUUCAUGCUUUUGUUAACAGUUACACUCCACCUUUACAAUUGGUUUUUGGGGACCUUCACCUGUAUGUGCCUCCAAUGGUUCACGCUAUUAUAUCUCUUUCCUUAAAUGAAAGGGGGUCACCAUUUUCAAUAUCAUCUAUGGCCUCCCCUUGUUUUUUUCCGUGUAAAAUGACAUACCAAUGUUCUGACAUAGGAUCUUUGAUGUAGAAAACCUGAGAUGCUUGUUGAACCAUUAUAAAUGGCCCAUCUCGAUACCCUAUCUUUCGAAAGUCCACUAGUGUGAAUCCUGAUUCAGCAAUAAAUGGAACAGAAAACUUACUAUAGCCAACCUCCCAUAUCUCUUCUAUAAACUCAUAGUAUGCCAUUGAUCCAAGUACAAAAUUUGUAUCUUUCGAAGUGGAAAAUUGCAUUGACUCAGUUUCAAGAGUAACACUAGAAUUUUGAACUGUAUUCUUUUCAUCCAUAGACUUCGUGUAAAAUAUACAAUUGUUUACUUUGUACGCAGUACAAGAAAUGACAACAAACUUCAAUCCAACAACCAACAAGGUCAAGGUCUCUGAUGUCGUUGAAUCCUUUAACACCUCGUCUUUAAACCAAGGCAUGAAAGUUCUAUUAUGUUCCAUCAAGACCCAUUUCUCUGCUUGUCUUGGUUUAUAUGCCUUCAUAAUGGCUUUAUGAGCUUCUAUGUAAGGUAUAACUUCAUCUGUGUUAUUGUUGAACAAGCUGCUUUGAUGUCUUCAAAUCCAAGAGGAAAGCUUGAAGCCCUUGCUGCUGGGUGUGUGUGUGUUGUCUAGUUGUUUGAAACUUGUUAAUUCACUCCUUAAGUCGAUCCAAGUUCAUUUGAAUCUUAAACCUUUUGAAAAGAUGUAUCUUCUAAAAGGCUGUCAAAAAUUCAACAGGUUGUUUUACCUUAGCUGUUUUUGAAAAACUUGGUUGACUUUGUUGUCAAACCAAAACAAUCGAUUGUUUCGACAAAACAACCGAUUGUUUUCCUGCAAGCCUUAACAAAAUUCUGUUAAGCGGUUUUAAUAUGUUUUAAAUGAUCCUAACUAACUUGGCUCCUUUAUUAAAUGCUUUUGACCACUUGGUGGGUCUAUAUAAAUGUGGUUUUACGCUCCUAAUCUUGGAGUAACAGAAAGAGUUUAUCAAAACAGUUUUUCCAAGAUUUGAAAGAGCUUUGGAUCAUUCUUAAGUGUGUGGAAUAGGAUUGGGUUGUAAUUCUGAACUUUAAGCUUUGUAAUACCCAGGUGUAUUUUAUUCCUUUCUUCCUUGAUUACUGUAUUUCUGUAGUUGUGUUGCCAAGGAGUGUUGUGUGUUCUUGAGGUGUUCAAGAUCAACAUUCUUGGUAUGGUUUGCCAAAGGUAGUGUGUUUCAUGAGGGGUUCAAGGUCACCACUGUGGUGUGUGGUGUUUGUAAUCUGGUUUUGAUUGCAUAGUGGAAUACCCAGUGGUUUUUGGGGACUGGAUGUAGCUCUUGGUGUAAGAGUGAACCAGUAUAAAUUGCUUGCGUGCUUAUAUCUUACCCUUAACUCUUUAAAUUUUGUUUUUAAGUUGUUUUUAUAAACUGCUCAUAAAAACAACCAUUUGUUUCGACAAAACAACCGAUUGUUUUUCUGAUAUCAUCUUAAAACAGUUUUGGUUCUUUGUUUUCUUGAUUCUUUUCUCUGUAAUUCAGCAUUGAUUUUUCAUUAUACCUUCAAAGUUUGCAAAAAUCCCUCUUAAACAAUUCACCCCCUCUCGUUUAAGGCCAUAUAUUCUAACAAUUCAAUAUAUACAAAUGUGCUUGCAAGACUUUUGAUCGAGAUUUGCUUACAAUAUUCACACCACGUAAACAUUUACUUGUAGAACGCUUGUGGUGCCAUGAAUUAGCUGGAAGACCUAUUGGAUUUUCUUUUGACAUGUACUCUGAACAAAAUUGAAUACUUUCUUCAGCUAUGUAGUUUUCAAUCAUUGAAGCUUCUAGACGAUAAUGAUUUUUCACAUAACCUUUCAAACUUUUCAUAUACUGCUCAACAAGAUGCAUCCAUCUUAAGUACACUGGUCCACACAAUCUAACCUCUCUUACCAUAUGCACAACUAGAUGAACCAUGAUGUCAAAAAAAGAUGGAGGAAAAACCAUCUCCAAUUCACACAACAUAACAACAAUUUCAUCUUCAAGUUCAUCUAGUUUUAAUGGAUCAAUGACUUUACAACAGAUGAAAGAGAAGAAUGAGCACAAAUGGGUUAUGGUAUGUCUAACAUUUUUUAGUAAGAUCCCACGAAUAACUACCGGUAGCAACUGUUGCAUCAAGAUGUGGCAAUCAUGAGACUUCAACCCAAUUAAUGUCAAAUCUUGCAUUGACACUAGGCUCUUCAUAUUUGAGGAAUGUCCUUGUGGAACUUUCACACCUUUUAGACAUUGAAAAAAACUUAUUUUUUCAUAUUUUGACAUGGUGAAACAGGUUGGGGGCAAAUAUGUACACUUACCCAUUUCUAUGGGUGCCCGCUCGCAUCUUAUGUUCAUCUCAAUCAAAUCUAAACGAGCAUUUAGACCAUCCAUCAUCUCAAUCAUAUGUUAAGAAGUGUACCAAUUAAGUUAUCACAUACAUUCUUCUCAACAUGCAUUACAUCUAUACAAUGGCUAACUUCUAACCUCGACCAAUAGGAAAGAUCAAAGAAGAUUGAUUUUUUCUUCCAAAUGUUUGUCACAGAUGACUUUUUUUUCGACUUAUCGAAGGUAUGAUCUAUGUUAUUUACCUUUUCGUACCACAACACCGGUUAAUAGAGUUGGUGGACUUGUUGAACAAGAUGCUUUGAUGUCUCCAAAUCCAAGAGGAAAGCUUGAAGACCUUGCUACUAGGUGUGUGUGUGUGUUGUCUAGUUGUUUGAAACUUGUUAAUUCACUCCUUAAGAUGAUCCAAGUUCAUUUAAAUCUUUAACCUUUUGAAAAGAUAUGUUUUCUGAAAAGCUGUCAAAAAUUCUACAGGUUGUUUUACCUUAGCAGUUUUUGAAAAGGUUUUGAAGAACUUGGUUGACUUUGCUGUCAAACCAAAACAAUCGAUUGUUUCGACAAAACAACUGAUUGUUUUCCUGCAAACCUUAACAGAAUUCUGUUAAGCGGUUUUAAUAUGUUUUAAAUGAUCCUAACUGACUUGGCUCCUUUAUUAAAUGCUUUUGACCACUUGGUUGGUCUGUAUAAAGGUGGUUUUACGCUCCUAAUCUUGGAGUAACAGAAAGAGUUUAUCAAAACAGUUUUUCCAAGAUUUGAAAGAGCUUUGGAUCAUUCUUAAGUGUGUGAAAUAGGAUUGGGUUGUAAUUCUGAACUUUAAGCUUUGUAAUACCCAGGUGUAUUCUAUUCUCUUCUUCCUUGAUUACNNNNNNNNNNNNNNNNNNNNNNNNNNNNNNNNNNNNNNNNNNNNNNNNNNNNNNNNNNNNNNNNNNNNNNNNNNNNNNNNNNNNNNNNNNNNNNNNNNNNGUUGUGUUGCCAAGAAGUGUUGUGUGUUCUUGAGGUGUUCAAGAUCAACAUUCUUGGUGUGGCUUGCCAAAGGUAGUGUGUUUCUUGAGGGGUUCAAGGUCACUACUUUGGUGUGUGGUGUUUGUAAUCUGGUUUUGAUUGCAUAGUGGAAUACCCAGUGGUUUAUGGGGACUGGAUGUAGCUCUUGGUGUAUGAGUGAACCAGUAUAGAUUGUUUGUGUGCUUAUCUCUUACCCUUAACUCUUUAAAUUCUGUUUUUAAGUUGUUUUUAUAAACUGCUGAUAAAAACAUCCGAUUGUUUUCACUAAACAACCGAUUGUUUUUCUGAUAUCAUCUUAAAACAGUUUUGGGUAUUUGUUUCCUUGAUUCUUUUCUCUGCAAUUCAGCAUUGAUUUUCAUUAUACCUUCAAAGUUUGCAAAAAUCCCUUUUAAACAAUUCACCCCCCAUCUCAUUUAAGGCCAUAUAUUCUAACAAUUGGCAUCAAGAGCUUGGUUCUUGAAAGUUAUUCAAGUUUUGAUCCUAAAUCUUUGUUAAAUGGUUGAAAAGUUUUCUUUUGGGGAGGGUGCCUGUUUAAGCAAACCACCUUUGUUCUAUGGUAUGAAAUAUGAAUUGUGGUGCAUAAGAAUGAAAUUCUUUGUUGAAUAUAUAGAGAGAAAAAUCUGGAAUGUUAUUACAAAUAGCUAUCUCAUGCCUAUAUCUGAAAAUGUUUCUUCUGAAAGAGAACAUCUUGAUUGUGUAGUUAUGAACAUCAUUGUAUCUGCACUUGAUUCUAAUGACUUUCUCAAAGUUUCAGAAUGUAGUUCUUCCAAAGAAAUGUGGAAUACCCUUGAAGAGUAUCACAAGAAUCCAAGGAGUGCCUUGAUGGACAAAGAAGAAUCUUCUGCUGAAUCUUUCUCUUCAAAAUCCAAAAAGGAGGUUUGGAUCAAGUCAAGCAAGAAGGAAAAGAAAGCAAAAUAAAAAAGAAGCCAAUCUGUGUUUGAUGGCCAAAGAAGAAGAUGAUGCAAGUAGUGUAAGUUCUUGUACUUCUUUAAAUGCUGAAAAUUAUAGUAAACUUCUUCAAGCCUUUAAUGAAACUCAUAAGGAAGCUAAUAGGUUGGCCCUUUUAAAUAAACGGUUGAAAGGUUUAAACAAAUCAUUGGAAAAUAGAGUCAAGACUUUGGAAGAAGAGUUGAACCAUUCAAAAACAGAUUUUGAAAGUUUGGAAAUGAUUUACAAAAACUCUUCUUGCAAGUGUGAUUCUAGCUUUUGUGAAAAUUGUGAAUCACUUGAAAAGAAAGUCCACUACCUUUUAAAAACCAUGGACAAGUUUUCCAAAGACCAAUCCAAUCUUGAAACUGUUCUUGCUUCUCAUAAAUGUGUUUUUGGCAAGGCUGGGUUGGGGUUUAAUCCAAACAGUAAGAACAAAGCUGUUUCAAAACCCUUUUCAAGUUUCUUUGAAAAACAACCUGUUUUAUCGAAACAACCGAUUGAAAUUUGUCAUUACUGCAUGAAAAGGGGCCACACUAUUAGAUUCUGCAAAGUAAAAAGGUUUUCUGUUCCUAAAGGUAUUUUGAAAUGUGUUCCUAAGGUUUCUAAGGUUCCUACUAACAUCAUUGGACCCAAAUUCAUAAGGGGACCAAAUCUUGCUUCUUAAUCUUUUGUUGUAGGUAUCCUUGGCAGCCAAGAAUCAGUUUUGGACUUGAAGAGUGACUGCUAAAGGGAAAACCAUCAAAAGCAAAGUUUGUCUAUAUGCCUGUACUUUCAAUUGUAUAUGUCUUGCAAGGUUCUUUGAAUGUCAAGAGACAUCCUUGGCACAUGCAUAGUGUUGAUCAAAAGAGAAACCUCAAAGAAAGUAUGUGUGUUUGAUGAAAUCAUUCAUAGUGGUCAAAGUUCUACAAAGGUUUAUGUAGAAGAAGAUGAGCAGAACAUCAUUGGAUGCAAAUGGGUUUUUCAUAAACAAGUUGUAUGAAUCUGGAGUAAUUACAAGGAACAAGGCAAGGCUUGUGGCUAAAGGUUAUAAUCAAGAAGAAGGCAUAGAUUAUGGUACAACCUUUGCUCUAGUUGCAAGAUUAGAGGUUGUAAGGUUGUUGUUGGCCUAUGCUUGUUUGAGUGGAUUCAAAUUGUUUCAAAUGGAUGAUAAAAGUGAUUUCCUUAAUGGAAUCAUCAAUGAGGAAGUCUAUGUUGAAGAACCAUCGGGCUUUGAAGAUCAUCAACAUCCUAACCACGUAUACAAGCUGAAAAAGGCCUUGUAUGGUCUUAAGCAAGCUCCAAGGCAGUGUGAAGAAAGAAUAUUUCUACCAAAUCCACCUCUUGAGUAAUCAUUUGACCAACUUGAAUUGCUGGAUGAAGAAAAGAUAAGGGGAGAAAUUGUGGUCUCCUUGCUAAAAAUUUUGGGGUCUAUGGUACUUUGAUUCUACUGCUAUCAUAGCUCUGAUACACCAUAGAUUUUUGCUGCAAUUUUGAUAUGGUAUCACAGGUUUGUUGCUGCAAUAGUGUUGCUACACAUACUGGUAUUCUGGUUUUUCUUAAUCCUGAUUUUAUCCCUUCUUUCAUUCUAUUUGAGAAGACAAAUAGGGGGAGAAUGGUGUGGUUUUAUGUGUUGUAUUAUUGCAGCUACAUUUGGUGUUAUCUGGUUUUAUCAUGAUUUAAAUUCUGCUAUUGCCAUGCUCUUAUUCACCAUAGUUCUGUUGCACACAAGUCUCAUUUUGGCACUAGUUUUUAUGGUUAUUUGACUAGUUUUUCUGCUUAAAGACUUAUGCAGAAAACUGGUUUUGUGUGCCUUGGUAUCCUGCUAGUAUACUUGCUUUGUAUAUGCACAAAUUCUGUUUUGUAGGACCUUUCAAGUUCAAAAACAACAACACAAACAAACCAGGGAUUUGUCUUCAUCAAAUAGGGGGAGAUUGUUGAACAAGAUGCUUUGAUGUCUCCAAAUCCAAGAGGAAAGCUUGAAGACCUUGUUUUUGGGUGUGUGUGUGUUGUCUAGUUGUUUUGAAACUUGUUAAUUCACUCCUUAAGAUGAUCCAAGUUCAUUUGAAUCUUUAACCUUUUGAAAAGAUGUGUUUUCUAAAAAGCUGUCAAAAAUUCAACAGGUUGUUUUACCUUAGAAGUUUUUGAAAAGGUUUUGAAAAACUUGGUUGACUUUGCUGUCAAACCAAAACAAUCGAUUGUUUCGACAAAACAACCGAUUGUUUUCCUGCAAACCUUAACAAAAUUCUGUUAAGCGGUUUUAAUAUGUUUUAAAUGAUCCUAACUAACUUGACUCCUUUAUUAAAUGCUUUUGACCACUUGGUUGGUCUGUAUAAAGGUGGUUUUACGCUCCUAAUCUUGGAGUAACAGAAAGAGUUUAUCAAAACAGUUUUUCCAAGAUUUGAAAGAGCUUUGGAUCAUUCUUAAGUGUGUGAAAUAGGAUUGGGUUGUAAUUCUGAACUUUAAGCUUUGUAAUACCAAGGUGUAUUCUAUUCCCUUCUUCCUUGAUUACUGUAUUUCUGUAGUUGUGUUGCCAAGGAGUGUUGUGUGUUCUUGAUGUGUUUAAGAUCAACAUUCUUGGUGUGGUUUGCCAAAGGUAGUGUGUUUCUUGAGGGGUUCAAGGUCACUACUUUGGUGUGUGGUGUUUGUAAUCUGGUUUUGAUUGCAUAGUGGAAUACCCAGUGGUUUCUGGGGACUGGAUGUAGCUCUUGGUGUAAGAAUGAACCAGUAUAGAUUGUUUGUGUGCUUAUAUCUUACCAUUAACUCUUUAAAUUCUGUUUUUAAGUUGUUUUUAUAAACUGCUCAUAAAAACAACCGAUUGUUUUUCUGAUAUCAUCUUAAAACAGUUUUGGGUAUUUGUUUCCUUGAUUCUUUUCUCUGCAAUUCAGCAUUGAUUUUCAUGCGCUUCUUCAAAAGACUCAGCUCCCACAUCACGAAUCAUGUCCUUCAAUCGAUCAUCAUCUACAUCAUCAUUUAUUGCAUCAUCCAUGUUAGACCUCACAUAUUCUUCAGUUACGGAAACACGUGGUAAAUUUAAUAAUUCACCAUGCCAUGUCCAAGUUGUAUAAGAUUGAAGAAACCCAUCACACAGAAGGUUCUUCAUGAUUAUCUUAACAUCCAGUAUCCUUCCAUUCAAACAGUUAACACACAGAUACCUAAUCUUUUCUCCAUCAUGACCAGUAUUAUUCGCGUUACGCUGCACAAAUUAUAUAAAUUCUUCUACUCCUCUUUCGUACUCAUCACUCAUGAGAACAAAAUUAAUCCAAUUUCAAUCCAUUAUAUUUUGUAAUAGUCAUUCAGGUGUUUUCUAAUAAGUGUUCUAUCUCACGCGUUUGCCGAGGGUCGAACACCCCCGGACUCUGUACCAUCGCGUAUCAAUUAUCGAGGGUCGAACACCCUCGAACUCAAUACCAACACAAUAAUUCUAUUCUAAACUAACAACUAACAUAAUAUAAAUUAAUAAUAAAUACAAAUUAAAUAAAUACUAAAUAAUAUAAAUUUAAAAAAUACAAAUUAUAAUAAAUAAAAAAUAAACAAAUUCAUAUGAUUAAAAAGAUCAAAAAAAUUUAAAACACCACCAACCUUGUGCGUGAAGGCAACAUUGGUGAAGAGUGGCACGGGACCGACAGCAACAGCGGACACAGCAGCAACAAAGGAGCAAAGUAAAACCCACACAAGAAGCGACAAGGGCAAUGAAACAGUACUUCGAGCAAUGUAAGAAAACAAACCAAGUAAGAGAAACGAAAAAGAUUUAUAAACCAUUGGUGAAGAAGAAAGAGAGCUUGAACAAACUUACAAUGGCACAACAACACAAUGAAGCUCGCAGAAGAAGAGAGGAACACCAGAGCAGGAACAGAGCAAAGCGCAAAGAAGAGAAAGAAAAUAUGAAAAUGUAAGUGGCGCGCUUUAGAGUUAGGGUAAAAAAUGAUUUAAGAAUGCAACUAUUUGUAAUAGUUGCAUUCUUAAAAUCAUGCAUUUUGAUUUAAGAAUUGCAUUAAUUUAAGAAUGCAACUAUUAAAAUAAUUACAUUCGUAAAUGAAGUUAAUUUAAAAAAUGUCACCACGUUUUAAAUAAAUGCAUUUAACCGUAAAAGCACAUUAAAUAAAUAUUCGUUGUUUUUUUAAUUUUCGGUUCCUUCACAUAAAAACUGUACAAAAGAAAUAUGUGAAGUAACGAACAUGCAUUUGAGAAAUUCAUGCCUGCAUGUUGAAAUUGGAAGGAUGGAUCAAUUGCAAAUAUUGUAGACCCCAUUAAUCAACGGUUCUCGAAAGGAAAUAAUGAGAUGUAUCCACAUUGGGUGAGUAUGUGUUCAAGAAUGGGUGAGUAUGUGUUCAAGAAGAUAGGGAUGUCAGACCAACCAUGGCUACUGUUGUACUCAUGCUUAAUAGUUAUUCUCUCACUCUCCCAUUGCCUUCAGAACCUACAUUUGUUGUGGAUAGUAGCACAAGAAGCUUUCCAAACAUGUUGGCAUGGGAGCAUAAUUAAAGGGAAAGUGGAUCGAGUGAAACCACAAACAAAUAAAGUCAAUAUUCAGUAAAUGAGGAGGCUUCAAUUAUUGAGUCAUACUCUAGCUAAUUUGAUAUAACAUGGGUAAUUUGAGACUUAAGUUACAUGUUUCUACGUAUAAUGAAAAAUUAAUUGUGCUUGUCUUGUUUUUUAAGGGCUUCCAAUCAAUGGAACUUUUUAAUUAAAAUUAUUCUUAUAGUAUAUUGAUAUUAACUUUAAGAUCAAUCCAUUUAACACUACAAAAAAACUAAUAUAUUAAGAUAGCAUAAAAUUUAACAUAUCAUUCAUAGUUGUUACCAUUAUAUAAGUUAUCUAAACUAAAAAUAUCAAACUCUUAUACUAAUAUUUUAACAUUAUGUGUAUCAUUAAUCACUCAGUCAAUGACAUAGUCUUUCUUGAAAUUGUUUUAUCACAUACAACUUAUCUCUUACGAAUGGAUAACUAAUACCAAUCAUAAGUUGUGUAUGAAAUUCACGACUUCAAUAUAAAAUAAUAUCAUUAAAGUUAGAUACGAGUGACACAAGUUCAAUUAUAUUAAUUUACACUAAGUCGUGUUUCAAUAAUAUGACUUUAAUUAUCAAUAAUCACUUAGUCAAGCAAAUUUGUGUCUCACUUUUUUUUAUUGUUUUUGAAACAAAAUUAUGUAUGUAUAACAUGAUUAUAAUAUGAUUAUAAUAUGGACCGACAUUAACAUAAAUACUGAAGUAGUGUUGGUACUAAAGGACUUCUUCAUAUGAAAAUAAAAAAAUUGUGAAACAACUUAUCCAUUUUAGUAAAUAAAAAAAGUUAUUCAUUAGAUUAAUAAUAAUAAUAAUAAUUGGUGCAAAACCUCUCUUGUGAGUGAUACUUGAAAGUUUAAUAUAUUUGUAAGGAAGUAAAUUUUCACCUUUAGUUAUUUAAGGACUGCAGUUCGAAUGGUUAGUCUCAAUAAGAAGCAAUUCUAAUCUAUCAUGGAUUUAUUAGAAGUGAUUUUUAUCGUGAUGACACUUCUAUACAGUUCAGACUCGGAUAGAUGAAUUUUUAGAAUACUUAACCAAGAGGCCGAUCCAUUGAUGGUCAUUGUAUUCCGUCCCAACUAUAAUCAGAAAAAAAGUGAUCUUGGCUUUCACAAAUUACAAAAUGAACACGGGUUUCUCCAAUGGUCCCGCUGGACAGCUAUCCAUGCCCUGUCUCCGCGUAACUUUGCGACUAUACAAAAACAUUUUUCAAUUAUUCGCUCCAAACUCCAAAACCUUGCCGCACAAUUUGGUUAACUAUAGCACAAGAGAAACGCGUUAUCAAGCUGCCACUUAGCUCCACUCCACUCACCAUCCCUCAUAAUUCUUCACUUCAUCAAUACGCCUUCUCCCUUCAAUCACCACCCUCACUAUANNNNNNNNNNNNNNNNNNNNNNNNNNNNNNNNNNNNNNNNNNNNNNNNNNNNNNNNNNNNNNNNNNNNNNNNNNNNNNNNNNNNNNNNNNNNNNNNNNNNCAAAUGGCCUCUCUUACAUCCUCAAGCCUUCUCCUCACUCUUCUUCUGGCUGUUUCCAUUCUUGGUUUCAGUUCAGCCAGGAAGCUCAGUGAGUCAGAUUCCCAGUUACAGUUCCAAUACCACAGAGGACCUCUCCUCACAGGCAAAAUCUCCGUCAACCUCAUUUGGUACGGCAACUUCAAACCUUCCCAGAAAGCCAUCGUCACUGACUUCAUCACCUCCCUCUCCUCUCCCAAACCCCUCACACCCCAACCAUCGGUUGCCACGUGGUGGAAAGCCACCCAAAAAUACUACAAAACCUCAUCCCCUAAACUCUCCCUCUCCCUUGGCUCUCAGAUCCUCGAUCAAAACUACUCCUUCGGCAAAUCACUCACCAACGAUCAAAUCCUCAAGCUCGCAUCCAAGGGUCCUCAGAGAAACGCCAUCAACGUGGUUCUCACGUCUGCUGACGUGGCAGUCGAAGGUUUCUGUUCAAGCAGGUGCGGGACUCACGGUUCCUC